GGUUCAAUGGUCUAGUGGUUAUGAUUUGUGUCUCACAUCUGUGCACACACAAGGUCUCCAGUUCGAUCCUGGGUUGAACCA
Molecule: transfer RNA, 81 nt
Filed under: Armillaria gallica
Lineage: Eukaryota; Fungi; Basidiomycota; Agaricomycetes; Agaricales; Physalacriaceae
Description: tRNA-Val
Source: RNAcentral